This 301-nucleotide ribosomal RNA is filed under the name uncultured bacterium. RNAcentral describes it as "partial 16S ribosomal RNA". It matches the Rfam family "Bacterial small subunit ribosomal RNA", at positions 509 to 807 of the family's 1533-position model. The record is from RNAcentral.
CAGCAGCCACGGGAAUACGAAGGGUGCAAGCGUUAAUCGGAAUUACUGGGCGUAAAGCGCGCGUAGGUGGUUUGUUAAGUUGGAUGUGAAAUCCCCGGGCUCAACCUGGGAACUGCAUCCAAAACUGGCAAGCUAGAGUAUGGUAGAGGGUGGUGGAAUUUCCUGUGUAGCGGUGAAAUGCGUAGAUAUAGGAAGGAACACCAGUGGCGAAGGCGACCACCUGGACUGAUACUGACACUGAGGUACGAAAGCAUGGGGAGCAAACAGGAUUAGAUACCCCUGUAGUCCCUGUCUCUUAUAC